GGCGGAGCGCAUUGGAAGGUUCCAAAAUUGAAUUAGCAAAAAGUUUUAGCCUCCUGCAUUCGAUUCCCACCGUUUUGGGUUUUGGCGCGCACCGCAGGAAGGUCGUCACCUCUCCUGAGCGAGACUGAGGGCGUGUCACGCCACGAGACGAGUCGGAAAGCCCGCGAAAAAUUGAGGCGGGAAAACAGGAGACACGACGUAACCGAGAGAAAGACGGAAAUAAGGAGGUAG
This 231-nucleotide long non-coding RNA is filed under the name Scleropages formosus (Asian bonytongue). RNAcentral's name for it is "lncRNA (ENSSFOG00015033025.1)". The record is from RNAcentral. Lineage: Eukaryota; Metazoa; Chordata; Actinopteri; Osteoglossiformes; Osteoglossidae.